CAAAGCAUAGCAUCAGGAAUGCCUCCCACUUACACUGGGCCUCAGGGACGUUAAAUUCGGCCUGCUUUGA
RNAcentral lists this transfer RNA (70 nucleotides) under Pectinaria gouldii. Its description in RNAcentral is "tRNA-Val". Lineage: Eukaryota; Metazoa; Annelida; Polychaeta; Terebellida; Pectinariidae. The record is from RNAcentral.